UACAGUUCCAGUGGUUAGAGCGUCCGCCUCGGAUGUGGGAGGUCGCUGGGUUCGAACCCCGGCAGAGUCA
Potamilus streckersoni is the source of this 70-nucleotide non-coding RNA. The record is from the annotation of a GenBank genome assembly. NCBI's taxonomy places the organism in Eukaryota, Metazoa, Mollusca, Bivalvia, Unionida, Unionidae.